This 495-nucleotide ribosomal RNA is filed under the name uncultured bacterium. RNAcentral describes it as "bacterial SSU rRNA". It matches the Rfam family "Bacterial small subunit ribosomal RNA", at positions 33 to 507 of the family's 1533-position model. The record is from RNAcentral.
GACGACGCUGGCGGCGUGCUUCACACAUGCAAGUCGAACGGGGAUAGAGCGCAGGCUUGCCUAUGCUCUUUCCUAGUGGCGGACGGGUGAGUAACACGUGAGCAACCUGCCCGACAACCCGGGAUAACAGCGGGAAACCGUUGCUAAUACCGGAUACUCCAGUAUUAACGCAUGUUAGAACUGGGAAAGGGUUUACCGAUGUCGGAUGGGCUCGCGACCCAUUAGCUUGUUGGUGGGGUAAUGGCCUACCAAGGCUGCGAUGGGUAGCUGGUCUGAGAGGACGAUCAGCCACACUGGAACUGAGACACGGCCCAGACUCCUACGGGAGGCAGCAGUGGGGAAUUUUGGACAAUGGGGGCAACCCUGAUCCAGCCAUGCCGCGUGAGUGAAGAAGGCCUUCGGGUUGUAAAGCUCUUUCAGACGGAAAGAAAACGCAUCGGUGAAUACCCGGUGUGGAUGACGGUACCGUAAGAAGAAGCACCGGCUAACUACGUG